RNAcentral lists this ribosomal RNA (799 nucleotides) under uncultured cyanobacterium. Its description in RNAcentral is "bacterial SSU rRNA". It matches the Rfam family "Bacterial small subunit ribosomal RNA", at positions 33 to 882 of the family's 1533-position model. Lineage: Bacteria; Bacillati; Cyanobacteriota. The record is from RNAcentral.
ACGCUGGCGGCGUGCUUACACAUGCAAGUCGAACGAACCUUCGGGUUAGUGGCGGACGGGUGAGUAACGCGUGAGAAUCUGCCCUCAGGAGGGGGAUAACGGCUGGAAACGGCCGCUAAUACCCCAUAUGCCGAGAGGUGAAAUGAAUUUCGCCUGAGGAUGAGCUCGCGUCUGAUUAGCUAGUUGGUGUGGUAAAGGCUCACCAAGGCUUCGAUCAGUAGCUGGUCUGAGAGGAUGAUCAGCCACACUGGGACUGAGACACGGCCCAGACUCCUACGGGAGGCAGCAGUGGGGAAUUUUCCGCAAUGGGCGCAAGCCUGACGGAGCAACGCCGCGUGAGGGAUGAAGGCCUCUGGGCUGUAAACCUCUUUUAUCAAGGAAGAAGAUCUGACGGUACUUGAUGAAUAAGCCACGGCUAAUUCCGUGCCAGCAGCCGCGGUAAUACGGGAGUGGCAAGCGUUAUCCGGAAUUAUUGGGCGUAAAGCGUCCGCAGGCGGUUUUACAAGUCUGUCGUUAAAACGUGGAGCUCAACUCCAUUUCGGCGAUGGAAACUGUAAGACUAGAGUGUGGUAGGGGCAGAGGGAUUCCCGGUGUAGCGGUGAAAUGCGUAGAUAUCGGGAAGAACACCAGUGGCGAAGGCGCUCUGCUGGGCCAUAACUGACGCUCAUGGACAAAGCUAGGGGAGCGAAAGGGAUUGAUACCCCUGUAGUCCUAGCCGUAAACGAUGAACACUAGGUGUCGGGGGAAUCGACCCCCUCGGUGUCGUAACCAACGCGUUAAGUGUUCCGCCUGGGGAGUA